GAGUCCACAGCAGCAGCUGGAACAAGACCCCACCCCCUGACCUUCUUCUUCUUACCUAAGACAUCAAAUCCAAGAGGAGACCGAACCCUAGAGAAAAACACUCCAGCAGCCGCACCCUCCAAGCAACGAAGCCAACGACCAACCCUCUAUCAACUGCCAAUCAGCCAGUCAUCGCUGCUGAACCAAACCAUCUGAAAACUGCCUUGUUCUUCAACAUACAACCAUGUCGGUCACCACCCCAAUCUCUCACGCUCGUUCCCUUAUCUCUCCCUCCUCAUUCCUCUCAUUCCCUUUCUUUGUUACUGCCACCGCCAGAGAAACCAUCCGAGCUCGCCGAAAACCAACAGCAACCUAAGAGAGUGGAGACAGGCGUCGACGAGGAAUUUCGAUCAAGCUCUGGUCUCGAUUCAUGUUCAGGCACUGUUACUGUAUUCGAAAAGGCAAUCACUGUGAGGUUCAUCCCUUACUUUGACUUAAAAACAAUUCCAUCUGUUUUCUUAUCAAUGUUUGGUAAUCAUGAUUGUCGUAUGACUAUUCUGCUAGUUUUGUGGUUUGCUUGAAACUAUUUCUUAAUUUGAUUUGUUUUGUUUAAUUUGAAUUUGAUGCAUUAUCAAGAAAAAAAUUAGCUAGUUAACUUGUUAGAUCUGUUUGGUUAAUAAUUUUGGGUUAAAGUUGAGCCACAACAGUGAUUGACAUUAAUGGUAGUUGGGCUUGAAUUGAUUUAAGUAAUUAAUAGGUUGAAUGAAAAUCAAUUAAAGUUUAGAUUCUCUCGUUGUAGUGUUGGUUCAUGAACCAUGAUUUGGGUGUGGCUUCAAUUUUACUCUAUUAGGCUUAGAAAACUUCUUACCUUCAUUUUAAUUUUAUAAAUAUUAACGCUAGUAGUAUGCUUGGCCGUCAUUACAUGGGUACGCAAGCCAUAGAUUGGAUGACGAGAAAAAGCGUAGAAUAGAACUUUAAUAUUUUCUUUUAUUUAUUUUAUUUUUGUAGAUGGGGACGACCUCUGACCUCUUAUGUAUUUAUGUUGUUUUUAUGUUUUUACCGCAAUUGAAUAUUUUAAAAGAUGACCAGUUAAGGGACUUGGGGAGUGCCUAAUACCUUCUUCCCGAGUCAAAUGAACCCCUUACCCGAAUCUCUGGUGCAAACUUAGUUUUGGAGUCUCAAGUAUUUUUAAAGAAAAAACUUAGUUUUUAGAAAAACGGUGACCUGACACAGCAAAACCCAUGUCACGUGGCGACUCUGAGUUAUUUCCUUUAAACACUAUCUCUUGUCACUUUCAAAAAUAAAAACCCCUUUCGAGCUUUACAAAUUUCUUUUUAUUAAUUUAAGAGGGUUAAGUGAGUUCUUUUUUAAAAAGGGGUGUGACAUCUCUGACGACUCUGCUGAAAAUUUGUAGGUUCGAGCUAUUACUUGAUCUUGUUGGAUUUUAGGAUAUUAGGUUGAGGUUUUUAUGUGUUUUUUUUGCUUUACUUGGUUUUUAUUUUUGUUUAUAUCUUUUUAUUAUUUCCUAUACGCUUAUUUGUUUACAGUUUUUCUUUAUGUGUUACUGCUUCAUAAAUUGUCAUCAUUUGCAUAACCACGGGUCUUUUUUUUGUAACAAGUCUUUUGGAGUAAAUUUGAGCGUACACAGCCUUUUUGUGAGUCACCCAUGUCUUUAAGGGGGUAGCGUGAGAGCGUGGAGUGGGAGGACAGCUAGAGCAGCUGCCAUCGACCACGUGUCGCCCCCAAUUCCCUUGUUAGUACACCCAAACUUAGGUCAGCCUUUAGGUCAUUUUUAUUUGUAUCAUGUCAUUUACACCUUGUAGGGUUCGGUCCCAGGCAGUGUGUCCCUUUGUAGGAAGUCUAUACAAGUUUUGUCAAAAAUGGGCUCGUUGCCCAAAAGACAUUCAAUCAUCCCUAUACGAUACAUAUUGCAUCUUUGAGGGUAAAAGGGUCGCUUGACGGACUGAUGCUUGGGAAAGUGGUGAAAAUGAAGCAAGUAGGGUCCAAUUAUAUUUUUCUUUACAACUUUUUAAAGAAAAGUCAAAAAAUUGAAAAUGAAAAAAUCCAAAAAGAUUUUAUACUUUUCCAUUAUUUUUCAAAACUUCAAAAAAAGGAGAAAAAGAAAAUCUAAAAAGAUUUUACAUUUUCAAUAAGGAGAAAAAGAAAAUCCAAAAGAUUUUUCAUUUUCUAUCAUUUCUCAAAAAGACAAAAAAAAUAUGAUUUUCCAAAUUAGUUGCUUUUUUAAAAGGCUUUCUCCCAUAUCCAAUCUUUUCGAAUUACACGAAUCUGAUUCUCGUCUUUCGAGACGUGACACGGAGGAAACCCACAUAGGGUCCGAUUUUCCAAGUGAGCUUUAGGUCCUUGGAUCUGCGGGGUCUUAGCCAAAUCUUGCAUGUCUAGCCGCUUUUGGGCAUAUCGGCCAUUGUUGCAAAAUGGGGCCUUUUUGCAAAAAUGGUUCAAUUACCCAUAUUUUAGGAUUUUGUGUCUACAACUAUGUGUCAUAUUACUUUAGGGUUCUUCCUUUUGAGUUUGCAUCUUUAGCCACUUUCAGCCACCUAUGCUAUUUUUUCAAAAUGGGUUAUUUUCGCAAAUUAAUUUAGGGCCAUGAUUAUUGUGUAUUUAAAUCCAUAUAAGCCUUAGUAAGGUCAUAUCUUUGAGUUCACCUUUGUUGAGUUUUCACUUCUAGCCACUCUUGGCUACGUAGGUUAAUUUUUAAUAAAUAACUUAAUCGUGUCUUGCAUGUGUCCAACAAGAGGUGUUGUGGUGUCGCAUAGUGUCUCGGGUCAUUUAUCUAUUUGGUAUUAUUUUUCUCAUUCAGGUAUGAAUUUAUUUACUGGAGCUCGAGCGUAACAGGUACCCUGGGACCAUCACAUUUGGGAGCUGUUUCAAGAGACUUUUUAUUUUUGAGUCUUUUUUUUUUUAAUUUUUUGCUAUCUAUUGUUGGAUGGUAGUUUCAGUCUUUUAGUUGGUGUAACCGUUUGUCGUAGUAUGGUUGAGUUUGUCAAGUCUUGCGCCAUCAUACUUCUUGUUUUGUAUUUGAAAAACCAAAAAAAGUUAUAAAUGAAAAAUUCAAAAAGAUUUUUGUUUUAUUUGUCCACUACCUUUUCCAGAACUAUGCGUGAUCUGAUUCAAGAAUUCUUGAAUCAUUUUUUCUAUCUCCCAUUUCAAAGCGCGACAAUCUUCAAUGUUAUGCCCUUGGACAUUAGAGUGGUACAUGUACCGUACAGUAAGAUCAAACCCUUUUGCAUAUGGGUUCGGAGUAUCGAUGAGCAGCUCAAUCAGACCAGACUGUAUUAACUUUUCAAACAAGCUUGUGUAGGAUUCUCCAAUUUGAGUGAAAGACUUUUCUCUUUGUUGCUGCCUUCUCAUUUUGUACUCCGGCCUUAGUUGGAACCUUUUUCGGGUAGGGGGUUGAUAUGCUUGUAGAGGUGGGUAACACAUUUGUGGAGGCGGUGGAAGACGUUGCCGGUUUUCUGUGUGUGUAGCAUAUGGCAGUGCAUUGUGGAUAGAGUACUGGGGAGGUGAGGUAUGACUUCAGGGAAUCUGUGGAGGAAAGUUGUAACGACCCGACCAGUCGUGUUGAGAAAUUAAGCUCCGUUCAGCAGCAUAAGGUUUGUAAUAGCUUAUUAAAAUGAGUAUCGAUUUGCGUGCAUGGUGAAAUUUGGCUUUCGGAUGGUUUAGAGUCAAAUUGGAAGAAGCAACCUUGUUUUGGAAGUCUGAACAGUGACAAGUUGACCGAAAUUGGACAUUUGAGCAAAAGAUCCCAAAAUGAGUUGUGGACGACCCCAAGAACUUCAUAUGGUAAUUUUGGACUUAGGCGCACGUCCGGAUUUAGAUUUGGAUGAUCGUAGAGUGAAUUGAGGCAUCUCGACGAAAGUUGAAGUUGGAAAAUGAAGAAGUUUGACGCACAGUUGAUUUUUGUGAUAUCGGGGUCGGAAUGCAUUUUCGAGAGUUGGAGAAGCUCCGUUAUAUUAUUUUGGACUUCUUCACAAAAUUUGGCGUCAUUCCAGACUGAGUUGAUAGGUUUCGGCAUGAUAUUUGAUAUUUGAAGAUUGAGAAGUGCAUAAGCUUGAUUUUGUGUUUGAUUCGUCGUUUUGAUGUUGUGUUAUGUGUUUUGAAACUUUGAGCGAGUCCGUGUUAGGUUAUAUGACUUGUGUGUGUGAUUAGACGGGGUCAUGAGAGCCUCGGGUGUGUUUCAGAUGGGCUACGGAUCAUUUUUCCUCCAUUUUGGACUGCUGUAACUGCUGCUUCUGAUAUCCUUCUAUGUGAUCACGAUGAUUCUCCCGUGGUUGCGAUGCCUUGCAGAAGACCACCUCAAAAUCAUCACGUUCGCAUCUGUCUACUCGCAUUCGUGAAGCUCUGUUUAGUUCUUCAUCGCGUUCGCAUUAAGCCUUCCUCGAUCGCGAAGGUCUAUUCUUCUUUACUUGUUCUGACCAUCUAUCAGAGAAAAAAGAACCUAUUGGCCUGUGCAACACCAUCUAUAAAUCAAUCAUGAAAAUUAUUGUAAACAGGAUAAAACCUAUCCUACCCCACAUCAUUGGGCCAAGCCAAGAAAGUUUUCUCACUAACAAAAGGGUCAAUGACAAUGCAAUCAUUGUCCAAGAAUAUGUCAAUCACUUCAGGAAAAUGAAGGGUAAGAGUGGUAACAUGAUCCUAAAAUUAAACCUUGGCCUGUGCAACACCAUCUAUAAAUCAAUCAUGAAAAUUAUUGUGAACAGGAUAAAACCUAUCCUACCCCACAUCAUUGGGCCAAGCCAAGAAAGUUUUCUCACUAACAAAAGGGUCAAUGACAAUGCAAUCAUUGUCCAAGAAUAUGUCAAUCACUUCAGGAAAAUGAAGGGUUUCACGAUUGAAUCUAUUUUCCCGCGUUCGCAUAGUGGAAUUUAGGACUUGGGGGCCCUCUUCGCGUUCGCUUAAGCUCCUACGUGAUUGCAUAAGCCACCAUCUCAUUACCCUUCACGUUCUCAUCCCUCUUCACGCGAACACGAUGUACAUUUCUAGGCUUUCUCGAAUUUCCUCUACGCGAUCGCGACCAUUGUUCCGUCGCGAUGAACAAAUCACUGGGCAGAUAGAUUAAAUCCCAAGUCUGAGGGUUCCACCAUUUUUAUCAUAUUUUGACUUCUAAAGCUCGGUUCUUGGAAAUUUUUGAAGGGAUUUUCACCUGGGCGUCUUGGGUAAGUUCUUCUCACUCGACUUAGACCAAUUUCCAUGAAUCUCCUCUUAGUUUCAUCCUUUAAUUUCAUAUUUUGAAUGGAAAAUGGGUAAAACUUUAUAUACCAAAUUAUUGACUUUUGAGGGGGUAUUUGACCUUUGAUUUGAGAGAUUUUUAUAUGGUUAGAAUUGUGAGAGUACGAGGGUUUUGAAAAUGUUAUAUCCAUCCGAUUCCGAGAUGUUGGACCGAGGGGCAUUUUGGUCAUUUUAUCUAAUUUCAUGCUUUAGUUUUGAAUUAAAUAGUAGAAUUAGUUGCUUGAGAUGUUAUUUACAAGGUGUGAUUGAAUUGAAUAGAUUUGAGCCAUUUGGAGUCGAGUACUCAUGGCAAGAACGUGGUUGCUAGUUGAUUUUAGCCGGCUCGAGGUAAGUAUCUUGCCUAACCUUGUGUGGGGGACUUCCCCUUAGGAUUUGAAUCUUCUCUAUUGAUUGUAUUCCUUGUAAGCGAGGUGACAAAUGAGUGCUCGGAUUUAUUUGUGGUCAUUGCCCUUUUUAGGCUCUUAGAUCCUUGUAAUCACCGAGUAUAAAGUUGUCCUUGAUACGAUUGAGUUCCCUGUUAUUAGUUUCACCUCUAUAUGUCUUAUUUGGAAUUUAUUUGCCCUUCUUGUUUUAUUCUUGUUGCCUAAUUGAAUUUUACUUGUUUAACUGAAGAUAUUUACCCUUCCAUAGUCACAUUAUCUUUCAUAAUUGCUUGCCUUUAUUUGAAAAUUGUUAUUAUUAUCUCUCGUGUAAUU
This 5921-nucleotide long non-coding RNA is filed under the name Nicotiana benthamiana. RNAcentral describes it as "long non-coding RNA (NBEN_LNC029571)". Lineage: Eukaryota; Viridiplantae; Streptophyta; Magnoliopsida; Solanales; Solanaceae. The record is from RNAcentral.